CCUACGGGAGGCAGCAGUGAGGAAUAUUGGUCAAUGGGCGGGAGCCUGAACCAGCCAAGUUGCGUGAGGGAAGACGGUCCUACGGAUUGUAAACCUCUUUUGCCGGGGAGCAACGGGGUCCUUGCGAGGUCCCAAUGAGAGUACCCGGAGAAAAAGCAUCGGCUAACUCCGUGCCAGCAGCCGCGGUAAUACGUAGGUGGCAAGCGUUAUCCGGAUUUAUUGGGCGUAAAGGGAACGCAGGCGGUCUUUUAAGUCUGAUGUGAAAGCCUUCGGCUUAACCGGAGUAGUGCAUUGGAAACUGGGAG
This 305-nucleotide ribosomal RNA is filed under the name uncultured bacterium. Its description in RNAcentral is "bacterial SSU rRNA". It matches the Rfam family "Bacterial small subunit ribosomal RNA", at positions 338 to 639 of the family's 1533-position model. The record is from RNAcentral.